AACUUUCAGCAAUGGAUCUCUUGGCUCUGGCAUCGAUGAAGAACGCAGCGAAAUGCGAUAAGUAAUGUGAAUUGCAGAACUCAGUGAAUCAUCGAAUCUUUGAACGCACAUUGCGCCCUCUGGUAUUCCGGAGGGCAUGCCUGUUCGAGCGUCAUUACAACCCUCAAGCUCUGCUUGGUAUUGGGCUUCACCAGUAAUGGUGUGCCUUAAAAUCAGUGGCGGUGCCAUCUGGCUCUAAGCGUAGUAAUUUUCUCGCUAUAGAUGUCUUGUGGAUACUUGCCAGCAACCCCUAAUUUUUUAAGGUUGACCUCGGAUCAGGUAGGGAUACCCGCUGAACUUAAGCAUAUCAAUAAGCGGAGGCU
Molecule: unclassified non-coding RNA, 362 nt
Filed under: uncultured Polyporales
Lineage: Eukaryota; Fungi; Basidiomycota; Agaricomycetes; Polyporales
Description: sequence contains ITS2
Rfam family: 5.8S ribosomal RNA (bases 1-154)
Source: RNAcentral